UGGGGAAUUUUGCACAAUGGGGGAAACCCUGAUGCAGCGACGCCGCGUGAUUUAGAAGGCCUUCGGGUUGUAACAAUCUUUUUUAUGGGAUGAAAAUGACAGUACCAUAAGAAUAAGGUCCGGCUAAAUACGUGCCAGCAGCCGCGGUAAUACGUAUGGACCGAGCGUUGUCCGGAAUCAUUGGGCGUAAAGGGUACGUAGGCGGCCCAGUAAGUUAGAAGUGAAAUAAUAUAGCUCAACUAUAUAAAGCUUUUAAAACUGCUAGGCUUGAGAGAUGGAAGGGAAAGUGGAAUUCCUAGUGUAGCGGUGAAAUGCGCAGAUAGUAGGAGAAUACCGGUGGCGAAGGCGACUUUCUGGUCAUCAUCUGACGCUGAGGUACGAAAGCGUGGGUAGCAAACAGG
RNAcentral lists this ribosomal RNA (401 nucleotides) under Verrucomicrobiota bacterium. RNAcentral's name for it is "Verrucomicrobia bacterium partial 16S ribosomal RNA". It matches the Rfam family "Bacterial small subunit ribosomal RNA", at positions 355 to 776 of the family's 1533-position model. The record is from RNAcentral. Lineage: Bacteria; Pseudomonadati; Verrucomicrobiota.